GGGAGAAUCGGAGAAAUUCGAUGCCGAAGGAGCAACCGCCCCGGAAACUCUCAGGCCCACGGACCGUGGCGG
Molecule: non-coding RNA, 72 nt
Filed under: uncultured Sulfitobacter sp.
Lineage: Bacteria; Pseudomonadati; Pseudomonadota; Alphaproteobacteria; Rhodobacterales; Roseobacteraceae
Description: Glycine riboswitch
Rfam family: Glycine riboswitch aptamer
About the family: This family represents the bacterial glycine riboswitch. Glycine riboswitches usually consist of two metabolite-binding aptamers domains with similar structures in tandem.
Source: RNAcentral